This 400-nucleotide unclassified non-coding RNA is filed under the name uncultured fungus. RNAcentral describes it as "sequence contains ITS1". The stretch from base 1 to 100 matches the Rfam family "5.8S ribosomal RNA", at positions 50 to 154 of the family's 154-position model. Lineage: Eukaryota; Fungi. The record is from RNAcentral.
GAAGUGCGAUAAGUGUCAUGACUUGCAGAUUCCCGAGAGCUGACUAAUUUCUGAAUGCAAAUGGCGACCGCUUAACCCGGUCAUGUAUUGUAGAGUGUAGUUGUUCCGACUCAUCAUCCCCUUUCUCUCACACCUAAAUACUCACGUCGAAAGAUGCGAGUAGAGAGAGAAAGCGAUUGGGAUCUGCGCUUGCGAUCACACACGCGAGCGUGAAGUCACGAGCGUCCUCCGAGAGGGAUUCACGUUCCUCUCGAAGGCGACUUCGGAUAUACAGACAUUCGCUGCCGCGCGCAUAUAUGCACAAGCAAUUGUGUAUGUAUGUGUGUGGAUAGUGGAUGUCCUAAACCCCUGAAGUUUCCCGCUCCAACAACUUUCGACAGCCACCUCUGCGAUGCAGGAG